Molecule: non-coding RNA, 3588 nt
Organism: Xyrichtys novacula (pearly razorfish)
Lineage: Eukaryota; Metazoa; Chordata; Actinopteri; Labriformes; Labridae
Source: the annotation of a GenBank genome assembly
GGCCAAAUAAAACCAGAGUUAUGAUAAAUUAUGUCUGCAAUACUUUUUUUCUGCUUAUUUUGAUCACGUUCGGCGCUCGAUCGCGCUGUAUGAGACAGGAAAACAUAGCAUGCAGACAUUAGCGACAGGUCUUACAGGCGGAAAAGGCUUGCCAAAAGAAAAAAAAAACACACCACAACAUUUCUCCUAUUGGUGGAAAACUUCACCACAACAACCAAUCCAAAAUUAUAUGGUGACUGAUUGACAAGGGGCGGGCGCUUACGGUCUUCCUGCAACAUGAGAAGGGAGGGAGGGACUCUCAGCAGGGAUGCAGUCUGGGACACGUAGUUGCAAACCUAGCGACUUUGUUGUUAGAUUCAAAGACUUUUCAGACCACCUAACGCCUUUUUUUUUUUUAGAAAGAAAGGGACUUCUAUCGACUUCUUCUGGAGUUUAGAGACUCAGACAUGAAGCAGGCUUUCCUUACUGAGGAGUUAGCAACGCUGCUAAUGGUGCAGAGCCACACAUGUGCUCCGAGCUCUGCAUGAAGCUGACAGAUCUGCAGCAGUUAGCAGGUUUCACCCUCAGAGACCACCAGGGGUUCAUGUUGAGGCAUUUUCAGUUUUUUUUUUUUUUUUGCCAUAGACACUGUCAGCACAAUCUGCAGUUACACUAACAAAAAUGCUGCAAAAAACAAAGAAUUAUGGAAAAAUUACACAUGGACUAACAUAGAGGAGGAUCUACACAAGUUUUUUACAUCAUGUUUUACAUCAUGCAUCAUUUACAUCAUGAUUUUUUGUAGUGGCAUAAAUAAAAGUGACAUUUGUGAGACUAUACAGCGUUUUGUAAAUAAUUUUACAAAGAACGCCUGGGCCAUUGCCUGCAUUUUGAUGUAAAUAGAGGUAAAUUACUAUGUUCUUUGUUAAAAAUUUGCAUAUGUUUUGAAGUUUACAAUUUUUAUUUGAAGUUUAAGUUUUAAAAACAGUUCAUCACACAUAUUUGUGGUUUUCACAGUAAAAAUGUUACUUUUUUCCACUCGGAUUUUAUGUUUUGUGUGUGAAUUUGGGUCCAUUGUGUAAAUACAGUAUGUCAAAAUGAUAAAAUAACUGUAAAUUCACACAGGUGAGGUUGUGCUGAAAAAAAAUGAUACCAGGCAAGGCAAGGUAAAAAAAUUUUAAGAGGAAAUAUAAAGGUAAAAUCUAAAGUAGUCAAAAACGGCCAAUAGUGACUCCCAGACUCAAUAGACAAGUCCCUUUGGCGCCACUCAGUGGGCAAAACUACUUUGUCUGCUGUAAUGUAUAUUUGGGUCAUCUUUGGCGCCCCCUAGAACCUAAACCGUGGAGUGCAGCGUCAUGAUUUGUACAACUUUGAAUGGCCAUGGGGUGUAGAUUGGCCUGAGCAAAUUUGGUGGCGGUGGAACUAAAGCCUUCGGAGGAGUUAGCGAAAUUCCAAUGUGUGCGGAUCGGGAAAAAAUGCAAAAUAACCCUUUAACCGUACAUUUUACAGAUACGUGCCUAUUGACUUUUUCGUAGAUCUUAUUGAGAUACACGUGAUUGUCAAAUUUUGGGUCAAUAUGACAAAGCGUAUAGGCGUGACACUCAACAAUGUGUAUUUUCACCUUAGGGGACAAGAAAAAAUGGACUUUUUUCUCCUGCCAUGUGGGGGCGCUCUUUUGGGGAGUAAAAAUUCCUUCACAAAUGUGUUGAUGGCUGGACAUUGCAUCAUCCUAGAGAACUUGGAGGCCAGUGAGGACAAAAAUAAAAAGUUAUAAGACUUAUAAGACUGUGGAUUUUUGGGUUAUCUUUGGCGCCCCCUAGAACGUAAACCGUGGGGUGCAGCGUCAUGAUUUGUACAACUUUUAAUGGCCAUGGGGUGUAGAUUGGCCUGAGCAAAUGUGGUGCCGGUGGAACGAAUGCCUUCGGAGGAGUUAGCGAAAUUCCAAUGUGUGCAGAUCGGCAAAAAAUGCAAAAUAACCCAUUAACCGUACAUUUGACAGAUACGCCUGCGCUGACUUUUUUGUAGAUCUUAUUGAGAUACAUGUGUGUGUCAAUUUUUGUGUCAAUAUGACAAAGCGUACAGCCGUCAUGUGAAUUUUCACCUUAGGGGGCGCUAUGGAGCCAUUUUGCAUUUUAUUGUUUGGGCGACUUCAGAAUAUCAAAUUUUUCACCAGGCCCGGUCGUCCUGCCAAAUUUCCUGAGUUUUCGCCAGUGGGAAGUGGGCCAUUUUCCAGUUUAAAGCGGAGGAAAAAUAAUAACUAGGGCCCCGUUGGGGCACUGGCGGGCCCGAGCCGUGUCGCGCCACCCCCAGCGCGACCGCCUACCCCUCCCGAUCGCGUCACACUCAAGGUCCAAAGAUGGUGUGCGCACUUGUCUGUGGUCAUUUACCAUUAUAAUGAAUGGGAGGCGCGGUUUCUACCAAAACGCUCGCUGCAGACAAACUCCAUGUCCUAUUUGAAAAAAGUCUAGAACAUGAGUGAGGGCACAAACACAGCUAAGAUAUAUCCAAAUGGCAAGUUGCUCCUCCUUUCGGUUUUGCCGAGAGAGCGAUGCGUUUAAGCCAUUGAGCGAUGGGCAGGAACAACUUGACUUUUUCUCCGGCCAUGGGGGGGCGCUCUUUUGGGGAGUAAAAAUUCCUUCACAAUUGUGUUGAUGGCUGAACAUUGCAUUAUCCUAGAAAACUUGGAGGCCAGUGAGGACAAAAAUAAAAAGUUAUAAGACUUUUGAAAAUUUGGAUUUUUGGGUUAUCUUUGGCGCCCCCUAGAACGUAAACCGUGGGGUGCAGCGUCAUGAUUUGAAUAACUUUUAAUGGCCAUGGGGUGUAGAUUGGCCUGAGCAAAUGUGGUGCCGGUGGAACGCCAGCCUUAGGAGGAGUUAGCGAAAUUCCAAUGUGUGCGGAUCAGCAAAAAAUGCGGAAUAACCCUUUAACCGUACAUUUGACACAUACGCGCGCAUUGACUUUUUCGUAGAUCUUAUUGAGAUACAUGUGUGUGUCAAAUUUUGUGUCAAUAUGACAAAGCGUACAGGCGUGACACUCAACAAUGUGUAUUUUCACCUUAUGGGACAAGAAAAAAUGGACUUUUUUCUCCGGCCAUGGGGGGGGGCGCUCUUUUGGGGAGUAAAAAUUCCUUCACAAAUGUGUUGAUGGCUGGACAUUGCAUCAUCCUAGAAAACUUGGAGGCCAGUGAGGGCAAAAAUAAAAAGUUAUAAGACUUUUAAAUAUGUGGAUUUUAGGGUUAUCUUUGGCGCCCCCUAGAACCUAAACCGUGGGGUGCAGCGUCAUGAUUUGAAUAACUUUUAAUGGCCAUGGGGUGUAGAUUGGCCUGAGCAAAUGUGGUGCCGGUGGAAAGAAAGCCUUCGGAGGAGUUAGCCACAUUCCAAUGUGUGCGGAUCGGCAAAAAAUGCGGAAUAACCCUUUAACCGUACAUUUGACAGAUACGCGCGCAUUGACUUUUUCGUAGAUCUUAUUGAGUUACAUGUGUGUGUCAAUUUUUGUGUCAUUUUGACAAAGCGUAUAGGCGUGACACUCAACAAUGUGUAUUUUCACCUUAGGGGACAAGAAAAAAUGGACUUUUUUCUCCUGCCAUGGGGGGGCGCUCUUUUGGGGAGUAAA